GGAUCCAGCCAUGCCGCGUGUGUGAAGAAGGCCUUUUGGUUGUAAAGCACUUUAAGCGAGGAGGAGGCUCCUUUAGUUAAUACCUAAAGAGAGUGGACGUUACUCGCAGAAUAAGCACCGGCUAACUCUGUGCCAGCAGCCGCGGUAAUACAGAGGGUGCGAGCGUUAAUCGGAUUUACUGGGCGUAAAGCGUGCGUAGGCGGCUUUUUAAGUCGGAUGUGAAAUCCCUGAGCUUAACUUAGGAAUUGCAUUCGAUACUGGAAAGCUAGAGUAUGGGAGAGGAUGGUAGAAUUCCAGGUGUAGCGGUGAAAUGCGUAGAGAUCUGGAGGAAUACCGAUGGCGAAGGCAGCCAUCUGGCCUAAUACUGACGCUGAGGUACGAAAGCAUGGGGAGCAAACAGGAUUAGAUACCCCGGUAGA
Molecule: ribosomal RNA, 419 nt
Filed under: Acinetobacter sp.
Lineage: Bacteria; Pseudomonadati; Pseudomonadota; Gammaproteobacteria; Moraxellales; Moraxellaceae
Description: bacterial SSU rRNA
Rfam family: Bacterial small subunit ribosomal RNA
Source: RNAcentral